RNAcentral lists this ribosomal RNA (1400 nucleotides) under metagenome. Its description in RNAcentral is "bacterial LSU rRNA". It matches the Rfam family "Bacterial large subunit ribosomal RNA", at positions 1479 to 2876 of the family's 2925-position model. The record is from RNAcentral.
UAUUGUUAUUGCCCGGGAAGUCCCGGUCCUUGCAUUGGAGAAGGCGCUUAGGCAAAUCCGGGCGCGGAAUUCAAGGGUGUGAGGCGAGCGGCUUAGGCCGCGAAGCAAUCGGAAGUGGUUCCAAGAAAAGCCUCUAAGCUUCAGUCUAACAAGACCGUACCGCAAACCGACACAGGUGGGCGAGAUGAGUAUUCUAAGGCGCUUGAGAGAACUCGGGAGAAGGAACUCGGCAAAUUGGUGCCGUAACUUCGGGAUAAGGUACGCCCUUGUAGCUUGACUGGCCUGCGCCAGGAGGGUGAGAGGGUUGCAAUAAACUGGUGGCUGCGACUGUUUAAUAAAAACACAGCACUCUGCAAACACGAAAGUGGACGUAUAGGGUGUGACUCCUGCCCGGUGCCGGAAGAUUAAAUGAUGGGGUGCAAGCUCUUGAUUGAAGUCCCGGUAAACGGCGGCCGUAACAAUAACGGUCCUAAGGUAGCGAAAUUCCUUGUCGGGUAAGUUCCGACCUGCACGUAUGGCGUAACGAUGGCCACACUGUCUCCUCCCGAGACUCAGCGAAGUUGAAGUGUUUGUGAUGAUGCAAUCUCCCCGCGGCUAGACGGAAAGACCCCAUGAACCUUUACUGUAGCUUUGCAUUGGACUUUGAACCGAUCUGUGUAGGAUAGGUGGGAGGCUAUGAAACCGGAACGCUAGUUUCGGUGGAGCCGUCCUUGAAAUACCACCCUGGUUUGUUUGAGGUUCUAACCUUGGUCCGUUAUCCGGACUGGGGACAGUGCAUGGUAGGCAGUUUGACUGGGGCGGUCUCCUCCCAAAGUGUAACGGAGGAGUACGAAGGUACGCUAGGUACGGUCGGAAAUCGUGCUGAUAGUGCAAUGGCAUAAGCGUGCUUAACUGCGAGACCGACAAGUCGAGCAGGUGCGAAAGCAGGUCAUAGUGAUCCGGUGGUUCUGUAUGGAAGGGCCAUCGCUCAACGGAUAAAAGGUACUCUGGGGAUAACAGGCUGAUACCGCCCAAGAGUUCAUAUCGACGGCGGUGUUUGGCACCUCGAUGUCGGCUCAUCUCAUCCUGGGGCUGUAGCCGGUCCCAAGGGUAUGGCUGUUCGCCAUUUAAAGAGGUACGUGAGCUGGGUUUAAAACGUCGUGAGACAGUUUGGUCCCUAUCUGCCGUGGGCGUUGGAUAUUUGAAGGGGGCUGCUCCUAGUACGAGAGGACCGGAGUGGACGAACCUCUGGUGUACCGGUUGUCACGCCAGUGGCAUCGCCGGGUAGCUAUGUUCGGAAGAGAUAACCGCUGAAAGCAUCUAAGCGGGAAACUCGCCUUAAGAUGAGAUAUCCCCGGGGACUUGAUCCCCUUGAAGGGUCGUUCUAGACCAGGACGUUGAUAGGUCAGGUGUGGAAGUUG